RNAcentral lists this microRNA (21 nucleotides) under Bos taurus (domestic cattle). RNAcentral's name for it is "bta-miR-6533". The record is from miRBase by way of RNAcentral. Lineage: Eukaryota; Metazoa; Chordata; Mammalia; Artiodactyla; Bovidae.
UGCGGCAGAGCAUUAGAGAAC